Molecule: ribosomal RNA, 444 nt
Filed under: Cacopsylla hakonensis
Lineage: Eukaryota; Metazoa; Arthropoda; Insecta; Hemiptera; Psyllidae
Description: partial 16S ribosomal RNA
Rfam family: Bacterial large subunit ribosomal RNA
Source: RNAcentral
AAACAUUUCUGAGGGGAAAAUGUUUUUGGUUUAACCUGCUCAAUGCUUAGGUAAAUAGCUGCAGUAUUUUGACUGUACAAAGGUAGCAUAAUCAUUAGUCUUUUGAUUGAAGGCUUGUAUGAAUGGUUGAACAGAAUAUUAACUUUUUUAACUACACGAAUUUUUAAUUUAUAGUUUAUGUAAAAAUGCAUAGUUAUUUAAAAGGGACGAUAAGACCCUAUAGAAUUUAAAAAUGUUCUGAGUUAUAUUUUUUUGUUGGGGUGACAGUAAAUAAACUUUUACAUUGUAUUCAUUGGUAAAUGAUUAAGAGAUCCUAUGUUUAGAGAAGAAGAUAAAGUUACCUUAGGGAUAACAGCAUAAUUUUUUUUAAAAGAUCUUAUUAAUAAAAAAGAUUAUGACCUCGAUGUUGAAUUAAAAUAAAAUUUUGGUGUAGAAGCUUAAUUU